GACGAACGCUGGCGGCGUGCUUAACACAUGCAAGUCGAACGGAAAGGCCCUGCUAUUGUGGGGUUCCCGAGUGGGAAACGGGGGAGUAACACGUAAGUAACCGUCCCUUGACUUCAGGCUACCUUCAAGAAACUGGUGCUACUACGGGAUAGGUGCUCCUGCUGCAUGAUGGUGGUUGGAACAUUUCGGCGGUGGGGGAUGUACUCGCGGCUUAUCUGCUUGUUGGUGGGGUAGUGGCUUACCAAGGCUUUGACGGGUAGCCUGCCUGAGAGGUUGACCGGCCACAUUGGGACUGAGAUACGGCCCAGACUCCAACGGGAGGCAGCAGGGGGGAAUAUGGCACAAUGGGCGGAAGCCUGAUGCAGCAACGCCGCGUGCGGGAUGACGGCCUGCGGGUUGUAAACCGCUUUCGCCUGUGACGAAGCGUGAGUGACGGUAAUGGGUAAAGAAGCACCGGCUAACUACGUG
RNAcentral lists this ribosomal RNA (468 nucleotides) under uncultured bacterium. Its description in RNAcentral is "partial 16S ribosomal RNA". It matches the Rfam family "Bacterial small subunit ribosomal RNA", at positions 28 to 507 of the family's 1533-position model. The record is from RNAcentral.